Molecule: ribosomal RNA, 255 nt
Filed under: uncultured bacterium
Lineage: Bacteria
Description: partial 16S ribosomal RNA
Rfam family: Bacterial small subunit ribosomal RNA
Source: RNAcentral
CAAACCAAAGCUGGCGACCGGCGCACGGGUGAGUAACACGUAUCCAACCUGCCUCAUACUCGGGGAUAGCCUUUCGAAAGAAAGAUUAAUAUCCGAUAGCAUAUAUUUCCCGCAUGGGUUUUAUAUUAAAGAAAUUCGGUAUGAGAUGGGGAUGCGUUCCAUUAGUUUGUUGGGGGGGUAACGGCCCACCAAGACUACGAUGGAUAGGGGUUCUGAGAGGAAGGUCCCCCACAUUGGAACUGAGGCACGGUCCAA